GCAGAGAUGCCAGUGGCGCAACGUUUUAUAAUUAGGCCUGGAACGCUUUCAACCUACUGACCAUUACUUCUCUGCUAUCAGAAAGCCAAAAAAAGGAGAGUAUGGAAUUAAAAACAAAUACUAUAAGCAUAUGCCUAUUGAGACAUUUUGGGGGAAGCCUCCUGUACUUAUGAUACUUUCAUCUACUAUUUCAGUUUCAAGAGAGUCCAAACUAUUGUGUCUGGUAUUCAAGAUCUCUCAAAUGGAUAACUGACACUCACAGGAAGUCACUGGAGUUAAGGAGAUUCUGUUGGAGCAGUUCCCUGAUGAGGAAGAUGAAAUGGGUGUUAAAGCGUGUUAACAAACAAAUGAAAACAAAACAAAAAUUUUGGCCUCAGUACUGCCUUUGACAUGAUGGAUCAACUCAGCCCACUGGAUCUACACAAGUGUCUUAGAUUCCGUCCUGUCAUAGUUCUGCUCCUACAGUACCUGUUUUUCUUCCAUUAUCUGGUGGUGCUUCCUCUACUGUACCAAGUUCUUCCUCUUCUUCUAUGGAGCCCCUCAAAGUGGAUUCAUUAAUUUGGAAAUAUUACAGGUCCACUGACAUCUACAGGCAUUUUUCCAUUUGAUUCAGCGAAUAAUACCAAGAUGAAAUACUAACGGCCAAGAGCUACUUAACUCUGAUGAAAGAAUUAGAGCUUGCAGAAUGCAUUAGGCGUUGGAGUUUCCAAGGAAAAAUUAUCUACAGAAAAUUACUUUAAGGUUUUUACUUCUUGCAAAAUAAAAAGUUGUUUCUAUUUAUAUCACUUAAGAGUCAAAAACACAGGAUGAGCUAAACUGUGUGGUCAAUCCUUAAAGAUUUGAAAAACUGCUGGAAAUUAAAUAAAGUAUAAA
Long non-coding RNA from Chelonia mydas (Green sea turtle), 873 nucleotides. RefSeq lists it as uncharacterized. The record is from RefSeq and is a predicted model, not a curated record. The transcript has 6 exons. NCBI's taxonomy places the organism in Eukaryota, Metazoa, Chordata, Testudines, Cheloniidae.